This 553-nucleotide ribosomal RNA is filed under the name uncultured Enterobacter sp. Its description in RNAcentral is "bacterial SSU rRNA". It matches the Rfam family "Bacterial small subunit ribosomal RNA", at positions 355 to 900 of the family's 1533-position model. Lineage: Bacteria; Pseudomonadati; Pseudomonadota; Gammaproteobacteria; Enterobacterales; Enterobacteriaceae. The record is from RNAcentral.
UGGGGAAUAUUGCACAAUGGGCGCAAGCCUGAUGCAGCCAUGCCGCGUGUAUGAAGAAGGCCUUCGGGUUGUAAAGUACUUUCAGCGAGGAGGAAGGCAUCGUACCUAAUACGUGCGGUGAUUGACGUUACUCGCAGAAGAAGCACCGGCUAACUCCGUGCCAGCAGCCGCGGUAAUACGGAGGGUGCAAGCGUUAAUCGGAAUUACUGGGCGUAAAGCGCACGCAGGCGGUCUGUCAUGUCGGAUGUGAAAUCCCCGGGCUCAACCUGGGAACUGCAUUCGAAACGGGCAGGCUAGAGUCUUGUAGAGGGGGGUAGAAUUCCAGGUGUAGCGGUGAAAUGCGUAAAGAUCUGGAGGAAUACCGGUGGCGAAGGCGCCCCCCUGGACAAAGACUGACGCUCAGGUGCGAAAGCGUGGGAAGCAAACAGGAUUAGAUACCCUGGUAGUCCACGCCAGAAACAAUGUCGACUUGGAGGUUGUGCCCUUGAGGCGUGGCUUCCGGAGUAACGCGUUAACUCCACCGCCUGGGGGAAUCCCGCCGCGAGGUUUAAAC